RNAcentral lists this transfer RNA (85 nucleotides) under Flavonifractor sp. An4. Its description in RNAcentral is "tRNA-Leu". It matches the Rfam family "tRNA". Rfam says of the family: Transfer RNA (tRNA) molecules are approximately 80 nucleotides in length. Lineage: Bacteria; Bacillati; Bacillota; Clostridia; Eubacteriales; Oscillospiraceae. The record is from RNAcentral.
GCGGGGGUGGCGUAACUGGCAGACGCAUCAGGCUUAAGUCCUGAUAUCGUGAGGUGUAGGGGUUCGAGUCCCCUUCCCCGCACCA